Molecule: ribosomal RNA, 2900 nt
Filed under: Klebsiella pneumoniae
Lineage: Bacteria; Pseudomonadati; Pseudomonadota; Gammaproteobacteria; Enterobacterales; Enterobacteriaceae
Description: 23S ribosomal RNA
Rfam family: Bacterial large subunit ribosomal RNA
Source: RNAcentral
UUAAGCGACUAAGCGUACACGGUGGAUGCCCUGGCAGUCAGAGGCGAUGAAGGACGUGCUAAUCUGCGAAAAGCGUCGGUAAGGUGAUAUGAACCGUUAUAACCGGCGAUGUCCGAAUGGGGAAACCCAGUGCAAUUCGUUGCACUAUCGUUAACUGAAUACAUAGGUUAACGAGGCGAACCGGGGGAACUGAAACAUCUAAGUACCCCGAGGAAAAGAAAUCAACCGAGAUUCCCCCAGUAGCGGCGAGCGAACGGGGAGCAGCCCAGAGUCUGAAUCAGCUUGUGUGUUAGUGGAACGGUCUGGAAAGUCCGACGGUACAGGGUGAUAGUCCCGUACACCAAAAUGCACAGGUUGUGAACUCGAAGAGUAGGGCGGGACACGUGGUAUCCUGUCUGAAUAUGGGGGGACCAUCCUCCAAGGCUAAAUACUCCUGACUGACCGAUAGUGAACCAGUACCGUGAGGGAAAGGCGAAAAGAACCCCGGCGAGGGGAGUGAAAAAGAACCUGAAACCGUGUACGUACAAGCAGUGGGAGCACCUUCGGGUGUGACUGCGUACCUUUUGUAUAAUGGGUCAGCGACUUAUAUUCUGUAGCAAGGUUAACCGUAUAGGGGAGCCGCAGGGAAACCGAGUCUUAACUGGGCGUUAAGUUGCAGGGUAUAGACCCGAAACCCGGUGAUCUAGCCAUGGGCAGGUUGAAGGUUGGGUAACACUAACUGGAGGACCGAACCGACUAAUGUUGAAAAAUUAGCGGAUGACUUGUGGCUGGGGGUGAAAGGCCAAUCAAACCGGGAGAUAGCUGGUUCUCCCCGAAAGCUAUUUAGGUAGCGCCUCGUGAAUUCAUCUUCGGGGGUAGAGCACUGUUUCGGCUAGGGGGUCAUCCCGACUUACCAACCCGAUGCAAACUACGAAUACCGAAGAAUGUUAUCACGGGAGACACACGGCGGGUGCUAACGUCCGUCGUGAAGAGGGAAACAACCCAGACCGCCAGCUAAGGUCCCAAAGUCAUGGUUAAGUGGGAAACGAUGUGGGAAGGCACAGACAGCCAGGAUGUUGGCUUAGAAGCAGCCAUCAUUUAAAGAAAGCGUAAUAGCUCACUGGUCGAGUCGGCCUGCGCGGAAGAUGUAACGGGGCUAAACCAUGCACCGAAGCUGCGGCAGCGACACUAUGUGUUGUUGGGUAGGGGAGCGUUCUGUAAGCCUGCGAAGGUGUGCUGUGAGGCAUGCUGGAGGUAUCAGAAGUGCGAAUGCUGACAUAAGUAACGAUAAAGCGGGUGAAAAGCCCGCUCGCCGGAAGACCAAGGGUUCCUGUCCAACGUUAAUCGGGGCAGGGUGAGUCGACCCCUAAGGCGAGGCCGAAAGGCGUAGUCGAUGGGAAACAGGUUAAUAUUCCUGUACUUGGUGUUACUGCGAAGGGGGGACGGAGAAGGCUAUGUUAGCCGGGCGACGGUUGUCCCGGUUUAAGCAUGUAGGCUGGUUAUCCAGGCAAAUCCGGAUAAUCAAGGCUGAGGUGUGAUGACGAGGCACUACGGUGCUGAAGUAACAAAUGCCCUGCUUCCAGGAAAAGCCUCUAAGCAUCAGGUAACAUCAAAUCGUACCCCAAACCGACACAGGUGGUCAGGUAGAGAAUACCAAGGCGCUUGAGAGAACUCGGGUGAAGGAACUAGGCAAAAUGGUGCCGUAACUUCGGGAGAAGGCACGCUGGUGUGUAGGUGAAGUCCCUGCGGAUGGAGCUGAGACCAGUCGAAGAUACCAGCUGGCUGCAACUGUUUAUUAAAAACACAGCACUGUGCAAACACGAAAGUGGACGUAUACGGUGUGACGCCUGCCCGGUGCCGGAAGGUUAAUUGAUGGGGUUAUCCGUAAGGAGAAGCUCUUGAUCGAAGCCCCGGUAAACGGCGGCCGUAACUAUAACGGUCCUAAGGUAGCGAAAUUCCUUGUCGGGUAAGUUCCGACCUGCACGAAUGGCGUAAUGAUGGCCAGGCUGUCUCCACCCGAGACUCAGUGAAAUUGAACUCGCUGUGAAGAUGCAGUGUACCCGCGGCAAGACGGAAAGACCCCGUGAACCUUUACUAUAGCUUGACACUGAACAUUGAGCCUUGAUGUGUAGGAUAGGUGGGAGGCUUUGAAGCGUGGACGCCAGUCUGCGUGGAGCCAACCUUGAAAUACCACCCUUUAAUGUUUGAUGUUCUAACGUUGGCCCCUUACCGGGGUUGCGGACAGUGUCUGGUGGGUAGUUUGACUGGGGCGGUCUCCUCCCAAAGCGUAACGGAGGAGCACGAAGGUUAGCUAAUCCUGGUCGGACAUCAGGAGGUUAGUGCAAUGGCAUAAGCUAGCUUGACUGCGAGCGUGACGGCGCGAGCAGGUGCGAAAGCAGGUCAUAGUGAUCCGGUGGUUCUGAAUGGAAGGGCCAUCGCUCAACGGAUAAAAGGUACUCCGGGGAUAACAGGCUGAUACCGCCCAAGAGUUCAUAUCGACGGCGGUGUUUGGCACCUCGAUGUCGGCUCAUCACAUCCUGGGGCUGAAGUAGGUCCCAAGGGUAUGGCUGUUCGCCAUUUAAAGUGGUACGCGAGCUGGGUUUAGAACGUCGUGAGACAGUUCGGUCCCUAUCUGCCGUGGGCGCUGGAGAAUUGAGGGGGGCUGCUCCUAGUACGAGAGGACCGGAGUGGACGCAUCACUGGUGUUCGGGUUGUCAUGCCAAUGGCACUGCCCGGUAGCUAAAUGCGGAAGAGAUAAGUGCUGAAAGCAUCUAAGCACGAAACUUGCCCCGAGAUGAGUUCUCCCUGAGACUUUAAGUCUCCUGAAGGAACGUUAAAGACGAUGACGUUGAUAGGCCGGGUGUGUAAGCGCAGCGAUGCGUUGAGCUAACCGGUACUAAUGAACCGUGAGGCUUAACCUU